RNAcentral lists this small nuclear RNA (19 nucleotides) under Arabidopsis thaliana (thale cress). Its description in RNAcentral is "snRNA_03194". The record is from RNAcentral. Lineage: Eukaryota; Viridiplantae; Streptophyta; Magnoliopsida; Brassicales; Brassicaceae.
GUACGAAUACGAACCGUGA